UCACUCCGAGAACGUCAAAUACCGACUGUUGGCAAAGGCCCUUUAGCGUCGGUGACUGACGGGAAAGGUACCCUUUUUAUUCGCUCGGUGACGGUAAAGGUACCCUUCGGCGUCUUCUGCAUACGGAAUGGGGGGUGCCUCACUACGUCUCUAAUAGACGAUGUGAGCAUCUUUCCUAUUGGAUAGUUUUUUAGGAUAUUCUUCUGUGAAAAUGGCGGACAUACUUUUUAUCCUGGGUGGAAAAUAUGAUAUUUUAGAAUAGUUACACCAUUAAAAGUGUUUAUGUAAACAUUUUUAGCGAGAAAUGUGCAUUUUACUUUCAUAAUCGUCGUUCGGCGAAUGUGAAGGAUGUUUGGGUUGAUAGAUAUGACGAAGAAUAUUUCAUCGGGCGAUAAUGGCCGGCGUACAGGCAUCCCGGGCUCACGAAAAUAGGUGACACUGUCACGUUAUUUAAUCUAUUGAAACGUGAUCAGGUACACGUAUUUUCUAAAUGUUCGUGUCAAAAAGCACAUUUUUCAAACUCAUGCAUAUCAAUUGGAAGUAUUUGUCGUGAUUUGUCACUAAGCACGACUUCCAUCUAAGGUUCUGUCCGGGAGCUUUCUCCCUAUUGUCCCUUAAGGAGCUCCGUACAGAACAUUUAUUGUUAAAAAUUGUCUGUGAUAACUAAGAAUAUGACAGCUUUUCCAGUCUCACCAAUAUGCGCACAGAUCG
Molecule: long non-coding RNA, 711 nt
Organism: Gadus chalcogrammus (walleye pollock)
Lineage: Eukaryota; Metazoa; Chordata; Actinopteri; Gadiformes; Gadidae
Exons: 2
Source: RefSeq, a predicted model, not a curated record